RNAcentral lists this ribosomal RNA (301 nucleotides) under uncultured bacterium. RNAcentral describes it as "partial 16S ribosomal RNA". It matches the Rfam family "Bacterial small subunit ribosomal RNA", at positions 509 to 807 of the family's 1533-position model. The record is from RNAcentral.
CAGUCGCCGCGGGAAUACGAAGGGUGCAAGCGUUACUCGGAAUUACUGGGCGUAAAGCGUGCGUAGGUGGUGGUUUAAGUCCGUUGUGAAAGCCCCGGGCUCAACCUGGGAAUUGCAGUGGAUACUGGGUCACUAGAGUGUGGUAGAGGAUAGUGGAAUUUCCGGUGUAGCAGUGAAAUGCGUAGAGAUCGGAAGGAACAUCUGUGGCGAAGGCGACUAUCUGGGCCAACACUGACACUGAGGCACGAAAGCGUGGGGAGCAAACAGGAUUAGAUACCCCCGUAGUCCCUGUCUCUUAUAC